Drosophila melanogaster (fruit fly) is the source of this 65-nucleotide non-coding RNA. The record is from Rfam. Lineage: Eukaryota; Metazoa; Arthropoda; Insecta; Diptera; Drosophilidae.
GAGCCCUAUGAUCGAUGAUUGGCAAAUCCUCUCGAGGAACCGAUCGUUGAGAACCCCUUUGCCUU